AAGUCGUAACAAGGUUUCCGUAGGUGAACCUGCGGAAGGAUCAUUACAGAGAAUCUGCCCCCGGGCAAUCUCCCACCCUUUGUUUAUCAUACCUUUGUUGCUUUGGCAGGCCCGCCCCCGGGCCGCCGGCUUCGGCUGGCCAGCGUCUGCCAGAGGACCCCAAACUCUUGUUUUAUUGUCGUCUGAGUACUAUAUAAUAGUUAGAA
RNAcentral lists this unclassified non-coding RNA (206 nucleotides) under plant metagenome. RNAcentral describes it as "partial contains small subunit ribosomal RNA and internal transcribed spacer 1". The stretch from base 1 to 46 matches the Rfam family "Eukaryotic small subunit ribosomal RNA", at positions 1786 to 1831 of the family's 1831-position model. The record is from RNAcentral.